UCCCAGACUCCUACGGGAGGCAGCAGUGGGGAAUAUUGGGCAAUGGGCGCAAGCCUGACCCAGCAACGCCGCGUGAAGGAAGAAGGCUUUCGGGUUGUAAACUUCUUUGACAGGGGAAGAGCAGAAGACGGUACCCUGAAAACAAGCUCCGGCUAACUACGUGCCAGCAGCCGCGGUAAUACGUAGGGAGCGAGCGUUGUCCGGAAUUACUGGGUGUAAAGGGAGCGUAGACGGCUGGCCAAGUCUGAAGUGAAAGCCCGGGGCUUAACCCCGGAACGGCUUUGGAAACUGGCCGGCUGGAGUGCUGGAGAGGCAGGCGGAAUUCCUGGUGUAGCGGUGAAAUGCGUAGAUAUCAGGAGGAACACCGGUGGCGAAGGCGGCCUGCUGGACAGUAACUGACGUUGAGGCUCGAAAGCGUGGGGAGCAAACAGGAUUAGAUACCCCAGUACU
This 450-nucleotide ribosomal RNA is filed under the name uncultured bacterium. RNAcentral describes it as "bacterial SSU rRNA". It matches the Rfam family "Bacterial small subunit ribosomal RNA", at positions 329 to 794 of the family's 1533-position model. The record is from RNAcentral.